GAUGAACGCUGGCGGCGUGCCUAAUACAUGCAAGUCGAGCGAACAGACGAGGAGCUUGCUCCUCUGACGUUAGCGGCGGACGGGUGAGUAACACGUGGAUAACCUACCUAUAAGACUGGGAUAACUUCGGGAAACCGGAGCUAAUACCGGAUAAUAUAUUGAACCGCAUGGUUCAAUAGUGAAAGACGGUUUUGCUGUCACUUAUAGAUUGAUCCGCGCCGCAUUAGCUAGUUGGUAAGGUAACGGCUUACCAAGGCAACGAUGCGUAGCCGACCUGAGAGGGUGAUCGGCCACACUCGAACUGAGACACGGUCCAGACUCCUACGGGAGGCAGCAGUAGGGAAUCUUCCGCAAUGGGCGAAAGCCUGACGGAGCAACGCCGCGUGAUUGAUGAAGGUCUUCGGAUCGUAAAACUCUGUUAUUAGGGAAGAACAAAUGUGUAAGUAAAUAUGCACGUCUUGACGGUACCUAAUCAGAAAGCCACGGCUAACUACGUG
This 497-nucleotide ribosomal RNA is filed under the name uncultured bacterium. Its description in RNAcentral is "partial 16S ribosomal RNA". It matches the Rfam family "Bacterial small subunit ribosomal RNA", at positions 28 to 507 of the family's 1533-position model. The record is from RNAcentral.